Molecule: long non-coding RNA, 745 nt
Organism: Onychostoma macrolepis
Lineage: Eukaryota; Metazoa; Chordata; Actinopteri; Cypriniformes; Cyprinidae
Exons: 3
Source: RefSeq, a predicted model, not a curated record
UUGAGUCUCACAGCAAACAAUCUGUCAAGAUCAAAACAAGAGAGAGGAACUAUGAGGCAGAUCUUUUCGGAUUGAGCCCACAUAUAAAAAAGAAAACAUGUCAGAAUGAGGACAGCAGGAACAUAUAAGAUCAUGAAAUGAAGCUUCAGUUGCAUGUCAGAAUGACGUCACUGGAAGAUCUGCAUUCUUGACGUGUUGACAGUGAUGAUAAAAUGUAUUGAGACACAAUGACAGCAGGAAUGUGUGAAGCUUCAGAAAAUGUUAAAUAUGUGACUAUAAGAACUGUGGCAAGAUGCAUGGAGAAAUGAACAGAAUAUAUUAUGAAACGUUUUAGAGACUUGUGAAAAAGUGCUGUAAAGUGAAAUUCAAUGCAACAGAUUUAUUUAUUUUACAAUUAAUCACUGUUUACUAAAUCAAAUUAAUACUGAUUACCCUUUUUUUAAAACUGUUCUUAUUUUGUGAAAAUACUCACAUGCACAGGACUGUAUAUUUACAUAAACUGAAUAAGACAGAAAACUGAAUAAAUAUGACUGUAACAAUUAAAUUUGUCUUCAUUGUUCACUGGUAUAUCAUUAAGUGUUACUGAAAUGUCUUGGUAAAGUGUUUAGUGCCGUAAAUGUCCCUUCAGUCUUAUGAUUAUUCUAUCCUGUAUUUUUUUUUCUUUUUUUUUUCCAUUCAUGAGAGGUGUUUAAUGAAACAAACAAACAAAACAAAUACAAAAGAACCAGGAAUAAAGGUGCACAUA